Molecule: long non-coding RNA, 1079 nt
Filed under: Cyanistes caeruleus (blue tit)
Lineage: Eukaryota; Metazoa; Chordata; Aves; Passeriformes; Paridae
Description: lncRNA (ENSCCEG00000002628.1)
Source: RNAcentral
AAAAUUCUCAAAAAAACACCCCAGAAUCCCCCAAAAAAAUCACCCCAAAAUUCCUCCCCAAAAAACCCACCCCAAAAUCCCAAAAUUCUCAAAAAAAAAAACACCCUAAAAUUCAAAAUUCCCAAAAAAAAAAACCACAGGAAAAGGGAAAUUCCUCCCCAAAAUCCCAGAAAAAACCGGGAAAAGGGAAAUUCCUCCCCAAAAUCCCAGAAAAAACCGGGAAAGGGGAAAUACCUCCCCAAAAUCCCAGAAAAAAACCGGGAAAGGGGAAAUUCCUCCCCAAAAUCCCAGAAAAAAAACAGGAAAAGGGAAAUUCCUCCCCAAAAUCCCCCUCAGGAAUUUGGGGAAGGGGAAGGCCAAUCCCAGAGCGGGGAUUUUGGGGAUGGGAAACGCCCCUGGGGGGGAUUUCCGGGAAUUUGGGGUUUUUGGGGUUCAGGUGUGGAAUUUUGGGGUUCAGGUGUGGAAUUUUGGGGUUUAGCUGUGGAAUUUUGGGGUUUACCUGCGGAAUUUUGGGGUUCAGGUGUGGAAUUUUGGGGUUCACCUGUGGAAUUUUGGGGUUCAGGUGUGGAAUUUUGGGGUUUACCUGCGGAAUUUUGGGGUUUACCUGUGGAAUUUUGGGGUUCACCUGUGGAAUUUUGGGAUUCAGGUGUGGAAUUUUGGGGUUCAGGUGUGGAAUUUUGGGGUUCAGGAGUGGAAUUUUGGGGUUCAGGUGUGGAAUUUUGGGGUUUACCUGUGGAAUUUUGGGGUUCAGGAGUGGAAUUUUGGGGUUCAGGUGUGGAAUUUUGGGGGUUACCUGCGGAAUUUUGGGGUUUACCUGCGGAAUUUUGGGGUUUACCUGUGGAAUUUUGGGGUUUACCUGUGGAACUGGAGGGUGAAGUUGCCGUCGGAGCCGUCCAGCGCCGGAGGCCGGGGGUCCCCGGGGUGCACCCCCAGACACUCUGUGGGGUCAGGAUUGGGGUCAGGGUGAGCCCAAAGGUCCUGGGACAGUUCUGGGACCAUCCUGAACCCCAAAUCCCAAACCCCAAAUCCCAAAUCCCAAACCCCAAAUCCCAAACCCCAAACCCCGAAUCCCAAACCCA